CUCAUAUCCAAAAUGGCCGUUCGUUCAGUGGCUGAUGGUGAUAACACUCAAGUUUUCAUGAAUGAUAGUAGUGAAACAAGUGAGCGCCAGAAGAGAUGCCGUCCAACUUCAAGAUUGAGCCCAGUGACAGCAGACUGGAGCUUCAGAUAGCCCUCAAGAAAGCACGGAAACUGAAGCCGCAGGCCGCUGUUACAGAAUCAAAGAACAGUGUAGAAAAGGUGGCAGAGUCAGUACUGGAGAGAAACUCAGAAGGAAACACGGAAGGUGGUUCCAUUGUGCUGAAUGCCACAGCAAAAUUCUGCCGCACACUGGGUGACAUCCCCACUUAUGGUCUGGAUGGCAACAGGGAUGAGGACGCUCAGGAACUGCUUGACUUUGAGAGGGAAAUAUUUGAAGAGAAGAAACGUCAGGAAGAAGAAGGCAAAUGUGGAGCUUGGAAUGAAGUUGAGAUUGAUACCUGUCUCAUGAAUUUCAUGGAAAGGGACCUGGCAAAAAUAAAGUGGAGAAACGAAUGAAGAAAACUGAACAGGAAGGAUUGAUGAAACAGAUGAACUCAACAGACACCCACUCGGAACACUUAGCCUCUUGCCGCAGAAGCAGAAAGAAAUGCAGUCUCCAUUCGUGGUCCUUAGUGGCGGUAAACAAACAUGAGGCAACCAUCU
Cryptotermes secundus is the source of this 662-nucleotide RNA transcript. It is a transcript of the gene named U4/U6.U5 tri-snRNP-associated protein 1-like, with no coding region annotated. The transcript is spliced from 7 exons. The record is from RefSeq and is a predicted model, not a curated record. NCBI's taxonomy places the organism in Eukaryota, Metazoa, Arthropoda, Insecta, Blattodea, Kalotermitidae.